Molecule: transfer RNA, 79 nt
Filed under: Candidatus Thorarchaeota archaeon
Lineage: Archaea; Promethearchaeati; Candidatus Thorarchaeota
Description: tRNA-Glu
Rfam family: tRNA
About the family: Transfer RNA (tRNA) molecules are approximately 80 nucleotides in length. Their secondary structure includes four short double-helical elements and three loops (D, anti-codon, and T loops). Further hydrogen bonds mediate the characteristic L-shaped molecular structure. tRNAs have two regions of fundamental functional importance: the anti-codon, which is responsible for specific mRNA codon recognition, and the 3' end, to which the tRNAs corresponding amino acid is attached (by aminoacyl-tRNA synthetases). tRNAs cope with the degeneracy of the genetic code in two manners: having more than one tRNA (with a specific anti-codon) for a particular amino acid; and 'wobble' base-pairing, i.e. permitting non-standard base-pairing at the 3rd anti-codon position.
Source: RNAcentral
GGGCCCGUGGCCUAGCCUGGACUCGCGAGAUUUUCUCGAAAGUUAGUAAUCCCCGGUUCGAAUCCGGGCGGGCCCGCCA